GACGAACGCUGGCGGCGUGGCUAAUACAUGCAAGUAGGACGCAGUUGCGAACGGGUGAGUAACGCGUAGGUAAAUACCUAGUAGAGGGGGAUAACUAUUGGAAACGAUAGCUAAUACCGCAUACUAGUAGAUGGACCUGCGUUGUAUUGGGUAGUAGGUAGGGUAAUGGCCUAACAAGGCAACGAUACAUAGCCGACUUGGGAUGGUGAACGGCCACACUGGGACUGAGACACGGCCCAGACUCCUACGGGAGGCAGCAGUAGGGAAUCAUCGGCAAUGGGGGGAACCCUGACCGAGCAACGCCGCGGGAGUGAAGAAGGUUUUCGGAUCGUAAAGCGCUGUUGUUAAGGAAGCGGUACUUAACCAGAAAGGGACGGCUAACUACGUGCCAGCAGCCGCGGUAAUUC
Molecule: ribosomal RNA, 407 nt
Filed under: uncultured bacterium
Lineage: Bacteria
Description: partial 16S ribosomal RNA
Rfam family: Bacterial small subunit ribosomal RNA
Source: RNAcentral